This 506-nucleotide ribosomal RNA is filed under the name uncultured bacterium. Its description in RNAcentral is "partial 16S ribosomal RNA". It matches the Rfam family "Bacterial small subunit ribosomal RNA", at positions 29 to 523 of the family's 1533-position model. The record is from RNAcentral.
AGUGAACGCUGGCGGUGGGCCUAACACAUGCAAGUCGAACGGCAGCACAGAGGAGCUUGCUCCUUGGGUGGCGAGUGGCGGACGGGUGAGGAAUACAUCGGAAUCUACUCUGUCGUGGGGGAUAACGUAGGGAAACUUACGCUAAUACCGCAUACGACCUACGGGUGAAAGCAGGGGCUCUUCGGACCUUGCGCGAUUGAAUGAGCCGAUGUCGGAUUAGCUAGUUGGCGGGGUAAAGGCCCACCAAGGCGACGAUCCGUAGCUGGUCUGAGAGGAUGAUCAGCCACACUGGAACUGAGACACGGUCCAGACUCCUACGGGAGGCAGCAGUGGGGAAUAUUGGACAAUGGGCGCAAGCCUGAUCCAGCCAUACCGCGUGGGUGAAGAAGGCCUUCGGGUUGUAAAGCCCUUUUGUUGGGAAAGAAAUCCAUCUGGUUAAUACCCGGGUGGGAUGACGGUACCCAAAGAAUAAGCACCGGCUAACUUCGUGCCAGCCGCCGCGGUAA